GAGCUUUCCACGAGCAGGUCACCUGCACGACGGCUGUCAAGGCUCGUGAUUCGCCUCUGGGUAAACCAAUCUCCGCGCAGGGGGAACACAGUUUCCACGGCCAAGCUCGGCGACGGAUCCGCGUCCCGCAAAAUGAAGGAAGUAAUAGAAAUGAUGCAGAUAUGCUUUGAGCAGAAGUGAGAAGCCAGAGCUCAUCUUUAAGAAUACUCGCUAGCUGCAGGGGAUUCAGCAUAAUGAACUUCUUUGUGCGUGUGUCAGAGGAGGAGAAGAGGAAUGUUAAACCAUAAACUAAGAAAACACGGUUGUUAAGUGUUUUCUAGACAUUGACUUCGUGGG
This is a long non-coding RNA of Gallus gallus (chicken), 336 nucleotides long. RefSeq lists it as uncharacterized. The transcript is spliced from 3 exons. The record is from RefSeq and is a predicted model, not a curated record. NCBI's taxonomy places the organism in Eukaryota, Metazoa, Chordata, Aves, Galliformes, Phasianidae.